Molecule: small nuclear RNA, 104 nt
Organism: Sciurus carolinensis (gray squirrel)
Lineage: Eukaryota; Metazoa; Chordata; Mammalia; Rodentia; Sciuridae
Source: RefSeq, a predicted model, not a curated record
GUGCUUGCUUCAGCAGCACAUAUGCUAAAAUUGGAACCAUACAGAGAUUAGCAUGGUCUCUGUGCAAGGAUGACACGCACAUGUGUGAAAUGUUCGAUAUUUCU